GGUCUUCCAGGUCCGGCCGCCCCAGCCCGGCCCGUCUGGGCGGCGGCGAGCGGGGAGGGAGCGCGCGCAGCCGCAGCCCCGAGGCCGGCCGCCGCGGAGCAAACAUUUCCUUAUGUGGUGGCUCCGAGGGCUGGCCUACGCCCGGGGGGCCGCCGGGGUCGGGCGGGCACGCCCUGGGCGAUCGCAGCGACCCUCGUCCCGGCGGCCGGGCCGCUUCCCAGCCGGAUCUCGGCCGCAUGGUGUGGACAAAACAAAGAGGGCUUGGAAAGGCCCCCGGCUUGUUCUUUGUCCCCCGGAGCGAGGUCCACAGUCCUCCCAGGAGGAAGUGUCACGGCCCCUGGGCCGGACCCUCUCUCCCGGACUUCCCCUGCGUUUGUGGGGGAGCGUCCCUGGGAUCCGGGGCCUCUGGAGGAGGGAGGUUUGAGGCGGCGGGCUGCCUGGCCCCCUUGACCCCUAAGCCACCCUGGCCCCGCCCCGGCCGUCCGCCCCGCGCAGCAAGCUCGCGCCCUUGCCUUGGGAGCUAUAUUUGGCCAUCGAAGGAUAACAGGGCCAAGCUCUAGCCCUCCAAAAGCGCUUGACAUCAAAACACGGGGCGAAGGAGGCUGCCUUCCCACCGCACUGGACUGGUCUCCAGAGCCUGAUUAGGGCCCCUGGGGCUCCGACAUCCCCCAGGGAGCACAGUUUGAGGUUGCCUCUGAGAGAGAAUCCUGGUCCAGGAAGCCUUUGCAUGCAGCACCAGCCCCACCAGGCCGAGGGAGAAGAAACAUCCAAAGUCUGGCUCCUAUGCCUCCCCACCAGUUUCUCCAGGACUCCCAUCCCUCCUCCUGCAGCCCCAGCCUCCCUGGCUCCUGGUGCCUGUCCCUGACUCACUCAGACCUAAGCUGCCUUCCCUUACAUCUGCCUUUUUACCCAACACUGGGAAAAUCUCCAGCUUCGGAGUUCCCCUCAGCCCAGCCCCCUCACCCAGCUCUGGUUCAGGGCACACCUGCAGGAUUCAAGCUCCCGCCUAGAAACCACUCUUCAGUGGGACAAGAGAUUCCAGGGAUUGACGUAAAGAAUCCUUUCGGUAAAAUGACAAAUGGCCACCACCUGUUCCCCAUGCACUGAUACAGUACAGCAAUAAAUAGGCUGUCCAGUUCUAAGAUUCACUUUUCAUACUGGGAAGAGGUCCCAAAGGAAUCUGAAGACAGGAGAUGGGGAAAUGGACCUUCAAAACCAGUAGACACUCUAAUUCACCCCUUGAUAAAACGGCCCCCUCUUAGAAGGGAGCUCAGUAGUCAUCUCACUGCCUCCCCAAGGCAGAGGUCUCCUCCACUGCAUUACUCGAUUACUUCCAGUGGCAGCAAACGCACUACUUUGGUGUGUUCUGUCUUAUAUAGAAUUGAAAUUUGUCUUCUUUAGUGCC
Long non-coding RNA from Manis pentadactyla (Chinese pangolin), 1405 nucleotides. RefSeq lists it as uncharacterized. The transcript is spliced from 3 exons. The record is from RefSeq and is a predicted model, not a curated record. Lineage: Eukaryota; Metazoa; Chordata; Mammalia; Pholidota; Manidae.